Molecule: ribosomal RNA, 253 nt
Filed under: uncultured bacterium
Lineage: Bacteria
Description: partial 16S ribosomal RNA
Rfam family: Bacterial small subunit ribosomal RNA
Source: RNAcentral
UACGGAGGGUGCAAGCGUUAUCCGGAUUCACUGGGUUAAGGGUGCGUAGGUGGGCAGUUAAGUCAGUGGUGAAAUCUCCCGGCUCAACUGGGAGGGUGCGCCGAAAACUGGAGUGCUGGAGCGCGGGAGAGGAAAGCGGAAUUCCUGGUGUAGCGGUGAAAUGCGUAGAUAUCGAGGAGGAACACCGGUGGUGUAGACGGCUCUCUGGACCGUAACUGACGCUGAGACGACGAAAGCGUGGGUAGCAAACAGG